AGAGACGUCAGUCGUUUACUGGACUCGGCCGAGUGAACUUGUCCAGUCCUUCUUGAUUGCAGGUGUUGUUUGUGACAGUUUGUUAUUUGCAGUCACAUGCUAGCGUGGUUUGUGAUUUAUUUGCUAAACUGAGUGUUGUUUACUGUUGGACUAACCUAGAUUUCGACGUCAGCAUUUUGAGCAGUGUAACCUGGAGUGUGGUUUCAGGAUAACUAUCCAACAGAGCAAUUGUGAUGCAAUAUCCAGGAAUCUUCAAUAUCAUAGAUAUUACUCGUUGCGGAACAUAGAACAACAAUAAGACGUGAAUAUGGAUUCGAGGCUCCAAGCCGGUUAUUCGACGACCUGGCAAACGGUGGAGCCAGGAUUCAACCGACAUCAGAAAAUAAGCCUCCUACUUUAGCUCAAACUGGUCUUACGAUGAGGCGCUAUCAGAUCGCUAGUAGAGUGCCUGAAAGCAACAGCAGAUUCAUAGCCGUCUGCUGUUGCGCGGAAAUGCGCGGAGGUCGACGACGCACGGCAUCAUGUCUGCGCACGGCUGUGUUCCUGUUUGUGGUGACAUUCGUGUGGCUGCAGCUGCACCUCACCAACCUGGGCGGCGGAGGGGGGCAGGGGGGCACUCUCAAGGACACCACCAACGACAACGACUCCUCCGCCGCCAUUCUCAGCAUGGUGCCACAGGUGCUGCACAAAUUUCUGACCAGUAAGCCGCGAAACACAACUCAUAGCCUGAAUGGCUCGAACAUGAGUGUGGACGCCCAUCGCCUGACCAUUGAUGAGAUCCGCCACAACAUCGAAAAAUACAAUCAAAUGCAGACUGUGCACAAUGAGGACUUGUUCGGACCACUGCUUAACGAUUCACUUAUCAUUGUUAUACAGGUGCACACACGGCUGAUCUACCUGAGGCACCUGAUUGUCAGCCUGGCGCAGGCUCAAGAGAUCGACUCCACUCUGCUAGUCUUUAGUCACGAUUACUACAAUGAGGAGAUCAACGAAGUUGUACAAAGUAUAGAUUUCGCCAAAGUCAUGCAGAUAUUCUAUCCGUAUUCUAUUCAAACACAUCCCAACACUUUUCCAGGGGAGAGUCCCGAUGACUGUCCUCGUGAUAUCAACUAUGAACAGGCAGUGCUACGUAAGUGCACCAAUGCGCUACAUCCAGAUCUCUACGGCCAUUACAGAGAAGCAAAGUUCACGCAGACCAAACACCAUUGGUGGUGGAAAGCUAAUAGAGUUUUCAACCAACUAGAAGUAACCAGAUAUCAUACAGGUAUGGUGCUUUUUGUAGAAGAGGACCACUAUGUUGCUGAGGAUUUCAUUCACAUUCUAAAGCUGAUGGAGAAAACUUCAAAAGCAAGCUGUCCAGCGUGUAAUAUACUUUCUUUGGGUACUUACCUGAAAACUUACGACUACUACAGUGAGAGUAAAAAGAAGGAGGCAUUGCGCGCCAUGAAGCGACACCAGUCCCUCACGGCGGCCGCCAUCCCCCCCUCCUGGGGCUUCCAGAUUCUGCCUUCGCUCUAUCAGCACUACCAAAAGGCUGAGGUGACGCCAUGGAUCAGCAGCAAGCACAACAUGGGCAUGGCGUUGAACAGGUCAACGUGGCAGGAGCUGCGCAAAUGCGGUCGACUGCUUUGCACCUACGAUGACUACAACUGGGACUGGAGUCUGCAGCAUGUGUCACAGGCAUGUCUGCCACACAAGCUCACCGCCGUUGUCAUGCGAGUGCCGCGUAUCUUUCACAUCGGCGAGUGCGGCGUGCACCACAAAAAGGCCAACUGCCAGAGCACCGGUGUGAUCUCAAAAGUGCAGAAAGUGCUGGCGAACGCGGCGCACCACCUGUACCCCUCCCACCUCACGCUCACCUUCACCACGGGCGCCAAGAAGCACAAACUGCGCAAGGGCAACGGCGGGUGGGGCGAUGUGCGUGACCACGAGCUCUGCAUGAACAUGACGCAGGUCGACAGAUAGUGUCGGUUUGUGCCUGUCUGGAACGGUUCGUUCAACAACUAUUAUUGAGUGGUGAGCCUGUGUUGCAGCAACAAAAUACUAUGUUACACAACUGUUAAACCUGUGUUCCAGAAACAAAAUACUAUGUUACAUAACUUUAAAACCUGUGUUGCAGCAGCAUAAUGCCAUGUUACACAACUUUGAAACCUGUGUUGCAGCAGCAUAAUACUAUGUUACACAACUGUUAAACCUGUGUUGCAGAAACAUAAUAUUACGCUACACAACUUUAAAACCUGUGUUGCACCAGCAUAAUACUAUGUUACACAACUGUUAAACCUGUGUUGCAGAAACAUAAUAAUACUGUACACUACACAACUUUAAAACCUGUGUUGCACCAAAAUGUUAGGCUACUGAUGGUAGCCAACAGAAAGUAACUAACUAUGAGAAACGGGUAACCUACUAAACGUGGUUAAUUUUAUAACAAUGAACGUAAUCUGUAUGCUCAAAUUUGUUUCAAUUUGGUGAGUUCUAUUGAAUUGAUUCAUAAUUAUUGGUUAACCUGUUUUGCAGGAAUAUAUCAAGCUACACAACUUUCACUGAUGAUGAAACAGAAAUUAAUCUAUGAGAAACGUGUAGCCUAUUAAAAAAGGUUACUUUUAUAUCAUUGAAAGUAAUCUAUAUCUCCACUUUGUUUCAAUUUGGUGAGUUCUGUCGCGUGAUAUACUAAACAACCACUAUUGAAUUGGUUGGUAAUGAUUGCAUAACCUCUGUUGCAGGAAGAUAUUAUGUUACAUAACUUUUACUGAUAAUUGAAUAGACUUAAAAUGUUGUCAAAAAUCCACUUUAAUUAGAUGAAAAUUAAUAUUUUACAGCUGAUGAUGUGUGAGCACACACAAAAGCAUGCUCCUGUAAAAUAUUAAUUGUCAUUUAAUUGAAGUGGAUUUUUGACAGCAUUUUAAGUCUAUUUAAUUAUGGAAAAGUUCCACAACAUCAACAUUUUACUUAUAAUAGCCGACAGAAAGUAUCCUAUGAGAAACGGGUAUCCUACUAAAAAUUGUUCAUUCUGUAACAUUUAAAGUAGUCCAAGUUAAAAUUUGUACAUAGCUCUGGAAAGCUUAGGAAAAAUUCCUUAACUGUGGCCACUAUACUGGGAUUUUAUCUGUUUGUUUCAAUAUCGUGAGUACAUGGGAAUAUUAUACUAAACAACCACUGUUCAAUUGAUUGGUAGGUAAUCCAAGUUAAAAUGUGUAAAAAGCUCUGGAAAACUUGGGAAAAAUUCCUAAACUAUGAGUGGCCACUAAUGGUGAUUUUAUCUGUUUGUUUCAAUAUCGUGAGUUCAUGGAAACAUUAUACUAAACAACCACUGUUCAAUUGAUUGGUAGUUAAUGGUUGGAUAGCAUGUGUUGCAGGAACAUAUAAACCUGUUAAACUACACAACUUUUACCGAUAGCCAACAAAAGGUACUGGCAAUUCCGAUUCAUCUUUUUGACACUUGAUAAUGUCGAAACAUGUCGUGUCAAAUAAACAAAGGGUAGCCUUCUUAAGUGUUUCAACUUUCUGUUUAUAUGAUAGAAAAUAAUAAUCCAUAUAAUAUGUUUAUCUCAGCUUUGUUUCAAUGUGGGGAGUUAAUAUAAAUAUUACACUCUAAACAAACUACUUUUGAUGGACGACUACAACAAUGAUUGGUAUUAGUUGGAAAGAUUUAUUUCAGUCAUGUCUUGAAACAAACAUUGUUAAUAGAUAAUGGUUGGUUAACCUUUGUUUCCAAGGUGAAGAACCUUUGUUUCCAAGGUGAACAAUUUUGCAAAGUGCAAACAUUACUUGUAUUGAAUAAAACUAUGAUUGAAAGGAAACAAAAAUCAAUAUAGCUGUCAUAUACUAGCCUUGUUAUCAUAAGUGGAGAGUUUACAGAAGUGUAUGAAACACCAAGGGUGUGUACAAACAGGGAGUGGUCACGUAGUCGAGUUCCAGCGGUCUUGAAAGGAUAUAGAUAUAUAUUUAUAUAUGAUUUGUGCUUGUAUUCGAAUGAAAUAAAUAUGGAUAAUCUUAGCACUUUUGAAAUAUGAAUAUCCAUAUCUUUAUCCUCCUAAUACUAUACAGCUCUGAUCGCUGACCACUCUCUGAGUACACAUACCCUGAGCUAAACAGAUGUUAUAUUGCUGCACAAAACUAAUGUUAUCUGCAUUGUCGAUACAACGAUCUAGUUCUGCUGCCACAGCUUCGUUUCAAUGUGGAACGUUCACAGAAACAUCACGCUAAAUAACUAAUGUUGAUAGACAAAUACCGAAAAAUCUAAACAACCAGAUUUUAUAGAUUAAAUGAAGAGGAUGUACGGUUUUCAGCAUGAUUGUAAGCCUGCAUACGUUUGACACUCUUAAAUUGAUAUGCGGUGUUCUAAAAUCACAAUACUGUUUUAUACAGUCAUUUAAAAGUUUAAUGAAUUAUUUGAAAACUUGCUAAUCUAGUACCAUAUCUUUCUUAAUUUAUUAUGUUAGUUGAGUCUCAGCAAAUAGUUUCAAUUUUAUUUAAAAAUGCUACCUAUUUAAUUGUUAUUUAAUAUUAAAAUAAACUUGUUUUGCUAAGCUUCAAUACAUGCUGCAAACCACCCAUCCAACUACAUUCCAUUUUUCACGAUAAACUCAAUGAUUAGGUAAAACCUGUAUUUAGAUUAGAAAGAUUAUUUAUUGAAUGAAGUAUGUAUAGAAUGUGUGCUUAACAGGCGCAAAAUUUCAUAUUAUAAAGUGUGUAAUAUAGAAAAUAUAUUACGUAAUAAUAAAUUAUGAACUCGGUAAACCAUAUAAAUAUUUAUCUAAUAUGUCUAUUUUAUGCAUAAUAUGUAUUAUGAAUAUUUCUGCCGAAUUAAGUGAGAAAAUGAAUUAAAAUCGGAAUUAAAUGAAUAGAAUGCUAAAAAUAUUAGCUCAACACUUCAUCGAUAACUCAUAUUAUGUUUUUUUUUUCAUAAAUACCGUCCAUUUGAAAAAUUAUUCCAUCAAAUAUUAAGGGUACCACAUUUCAUAGUUUUCAUUUUUCCUACGCAGUUUUCCAUUUUAAUCUUCAUUGUAUAGCAUUUAUUUCUUGAGAUGUAUUUACCUGUACCUUGAAGAUUUUGCAUUUGGUGUAAAUUGCGUAUUAUUUGUUUUAGAAAGGACAUUCUAUUUAUAAUAUUCCUAUUUUUCAUUUCUAAAAAAUAAUAUUAGAAACAUUAAAUAAUGUUAAAAUUUGUUCCUUGAGAUCAACUAUCUCAGUUCCAUGAAGAUGAAUUCGGUGUAUCAUUUUCCCCAGAUAGGAUAUUUUAGGAUAUCCUUAUCUCUCAUUUCAGACAAAUAAUAUUGUACUUGCUUUACAUCUUAAUUCCCAAUCAUUUUCAAGAAUAGCUCAGUUUAAACGUCAGUGGCUCAUCAGCUAACUAGUAACUACCCUUAAGGUUCAUGUCACUUUGAACUAUCUCAAACAACUCAGUCUCUACAGAUAAUAAUAUGAGACCUAAUUGUAUCAGUAGGUACCUACCUAAAUGUAAUAUUUCGUCUGAAAGACCUACAUGUUAUCCAAGUUGCAAAAAAUUAUUCAACACUUAUUUAUUUCAAAACUAUAUGGUUUGCUAGUUGAUAGAAAUAAUUUAGAUUAUAAGAAAUUAUUGUUGUCCUAUUCCAUAUGAAUAUUGUAAUUAAUUCGAAAAUUGUUUGCUCUAAAUUUUAAUUGUUUAGUAACAAUUUUAGUUAAUUAUUGUAAAUCGUACUGAUUAUUUUGUGAUAUCAUGCUGAGAAAGUCGUUUUCUUACAAUGAUUCAUUGUAUUGAAAACCUUGGUGAUACCAAUAUAAGCAUAAUGCUCUAUUUAUGUUGAUCUCCUGGUGUAAAUUGGGAUUCUUAUAAACUAAGUCUAGUCAUACUGUUGAUAGUUGUUAUAUCAUUAAUAAUAUUCUUCAGCAUUUAAUUAUUAUGCUGUUAAUUUGUCAUUGAUCGCAAUAUUUUGUUACCAUUUGUGUAAGAAACAUAAUACUAUAGCUUAUGAAAAGAUAAUCUGAGCUUUUAGAUUUCAUGAAAUUUAAUUUACCAACUUCUCAUUCCUUUUUGUCAUAAUUAUUAUUAUUAGUUCAUCUCAUUGAAAACUUAAUAUUUCAAAACUUAUCUCCAAGAAAAUUUCUGAAUAGUUUUAAAAAGUUAUUUUGUCAAGUAGGCUACACUAGUUCGUUGAGACAUGUUGAAAGUGUGUUCAAAUAAUUUUCGUCCGUCAAGCGAUCAAAAGAAUUUUCUUUUCAAAAGACUUUUCGCUAAGGCUUUUUAAAGGCUAAAUUUUCUUUAAAGUUUGUCUGAAUACCAUGUACCAUUGAAAUAUCUACAACCUAUUCAGAAUUUUCAUUUUUAAGAUGAACUAGGAGAUUUUUCAUUACUUUCGAUGUACUAGAUUCCAUUCAUUUCUUACUGUAUGGAAUUUCUCUUUGUAAGCUUCAAUUUGGAAACCAAUUUAUAGUGAAUGAAAGCACAAUGUUACAGAAGUCUUCCGAAUCUCGAAUCAAUUCGAAUGAUGUACUUUUUCAUUAUUCAAUUCUCCUUUUCUGGUUAGAAUAAUAAUUAUUGCGUUCUAUGUUGUGUAUUAUUGAGUCAUAAUUUUCAGAGAAAAUAAAUGUGACUUAAUAUAAUAAAACUUUGUAAAAUAAUAAUAUUAUACAAAUUGGUGUUCACUCUAAAUAAAAUUAAAACCCAAUUAUCAUAAGUGUUGUAAAUCAGUAGUCAUUAUGAUUAAUUUUGUGUAUAGUAUUGUAAAUAAUAAGCUAAAUAUUUUGUUGAUAUGUAAUAAAGUAUUGUGAAUAUGAAUGUAUUUUCCAACUCUUCACAGCUCUGUGAAUCUUGUAUCAUAAUAAUUGUAAAGCUUGUAAAAAAUGUAUGCUGAACUUAAAACUACUGUAUAAUGUGUGGAAUUAAUAAUGAAAAUAAAAACAGUUGGGUGCAUUCCUUUCUUAAUAAUAACGUACAAACUUGUAGUGAAUCCUGUAUUAGACAUUAUUGAGGAUUUGGAAACAUUUUAAUCCAGUGUUUUUGGCUCAACAUUAUUAUUAUAUUCUUUAAAAUAAUAAAUUUUAAAUAAUUUUCUGCGAACUACUCAGAAACGUUCCGAUUGAAAUAAAAUAAGUAUAUUUUAUCUUCAAGAAAAGCUAAAAUGAGACAUUUGAGAAGCUUGAAAUUUGAUUUUGAUAGUGGCAAAAGAAGGAUUAUGAUAAAUAUUUCUAGACGAUCCAAAUAAAAUCAUUUUUAGUGUGCUAGACAAGUUUGCUUGACAGUUGAACACCCUUAUCGAUUGUGUUAUUGAGCUCAAAAAUUGUGUAACUACAAUGCUGUGUAAACACUGGAUAAAAUCAAUUAAAUAUGAAGAAAAGCAAUUGAACUGUGAUUGAUGAUAGAAAAUUGUGCGCUGAUUCCUACUGUAUCUUCUUUACAUGAAAAUUUUAGUUCAUUGCAAGAAUAUUUUUGUCUAAUUCAUAAAGAUGUUAAACCUUUGUUCUGACAUUUUAAAUGUAUUGAAAUAAGUGAGACUGUCUAUUUUACAAAUUAAUAAAGAAAAUGAGGGAGA
This 7511-nucleotide unclassified non-coding RNA is filed under the name Nilaparvata lugens (brown planthopper). RNAcentral's name for it is "alpha-1,6-mannosyl-glycoprotein 2-beta-N- acetylglucosaminyltransferase, transcript variant X1". The record is from RNAcentral. Lineage: Eukaryota; Metazoa; Arthropoda; Insecta; Hemiptera; Delphacidae.